Myotis brandtii (Brandt's bat) is the source of this 165-nucleotide long non-coding RNA. RefSeq lists it as uncharacterized. The transcript is spliced from 4 exons. The record is from RefSeq and is a predicted model, not a curated record. Lineage: Eukaryota; Metazoa; Chordata; Mammalia; Chiroptera; Vespertilionidae.
CCCCUGUGAGGCUGGGACGGCCCUGGUGAGGUUGAGACAGCCCCGGUGAGGCUGAGACGGCCCCGGUGAGGUUGCAACUGCCCCGGUGAGGAUGAAACGGCCCCGGUGAGGCUGAGACGGCCCCAAUGAGGCUGACACGGCCCCAGUGAGGUUGAAUCUGCCCCG